Molecule: ribosomal RNA, 253 nt
Filed under: uncultured bacterium
Lineage: Bacteria
Description: partial 16S ribosomal RNA
Rfam family: Bacterial small subunit ribosomal RNA
Source: RNAcentral
UACGUAGGGGGCCAGCGUUGUUCGGAAUUACUGGGUGUAAAGGGUUCGUAGGCGGCGCGGCAAGUCGGGAGUGAAAUCUCUGGGCUCAACCCAGAGUCUGCUUCCGAAACUGCUGUGCUUGAGUGUGGGAGAGGCGCGUGGAAUUGCAGGUGUAGCGGUGAAAUGCGUAGAUAUCUGCAGGAACACCCGUGGCGAAAGCGGCGCGCUGGACCACUACUGACGCUGAGGAACGAAAGCUAGGGGAGCAAACAGG